UUGACGGGGGCCGCACAAGCGGUGGAGCAUGUGGUUUAAUUCGAAGCAACGCGAAGAACCUUACCAGGUCUUGACAUCCCUGACAACCCGAGAGAUCGGGCGUUCCCCUUCGGGGGACAGGGUGACAGGUGGUGCAUGGUUGUCGUCAGCUCGUGUCGUGAGAUGUUGGGUUAAGUCCCGCAACGAGCGCAACCCUCGACCUUAGUUGCCAGCAUUCAGUUGGGCACUCUAAGGUGACUGCCGGCUAAAAGUCGGAGGAAGGUGGGGAUGACGUCAAAUCAUCAUGCCCCUUAUGACCUGGGCUACACACGUGCUACAAUGGGCGGUACAAAGGGUCGCGAACCCGCGAGGGGGAGCCAAUCCCAAAAAGCCGCUCUCAGUUCGGAUUGCAGGCUGCAACUCGCCUGCAUGAAGCCGGAAUCGCUAGUAAUCGCGGAUCAGCAUGCCGCGGUCGAAUACGUUCCCGGGCCUU
RNAcentral lists this ribosomal RNA (472 nucleotides) under uncultured Anoxybacillus sp. RNAcentral describes it as "bacterial SSU rRNA". It matches the Rfam family "Bacterial small subunit ribosomal RNA", at positions 910 to 1382 of the family's 1533-position model. Lineage: Bacteria; Bacillati; Bacillota; Bacilli; Caryophanales; Anoxybacillaceae. The record is from RNAcentral.